This is a long non-coding RNA of Perca fluviatilis (European perch), 273 nucleotides long. RefSeq lists it as uncharacterized. The transcript is spliced from 3 exons. The record is from RefSeq and is a predicted model, not a curated record. NCBI's taxonomy places the organism in Eukaryota, Metazoa, Chordata, Actinopteri, Perciformes, Percidae.
CAUGUGACUCCAGAUGGUCCUCCUCCCUCUCUACUGAUAUACUGUAUCAACUGUUCUCUUCUCUCUCUGCCUCCUCUACAUCACAGACCAACAACACAGACAGUGUCCAUAGUCACCUCGUCACCGAUCUUCAGGAACUUCAGAUCCAUUUCUCUGGACCUCUUCCUGGGUUGACCUGGACUUUAAACACACAGAACCUUUCUGAUCACAUCAGAUCACAGUUUGAUUUAAAGUCAGCUUCUUCAUCUCUCUGAAGAGGAGAUCUCAACACUU